AAGUAGAACGCUGAAGGAGGAGCUUGCUCUUCUGGAUGAGUUGCGAACGGGUGAGUAACGCGUAGGUAACCUGCCUCUUAGCGGGGGAUAACUAUUGGAAACGAUAGCUAAUACCGCAUAAACGUCGACAUUGCAUGAUGUUGACUUGAAAGGUGCAACUGCAUCACUAAGAGAUGGACCUGCGUUGUAUUAGCUAGUUGGUGAGGUAACGGCUCACCAAGGCGACGAUACAUAGCCGACCUGAGAGGGUGAUCGGCCACACUGGGACUGAGACACGGCCCAGAUUCCUACGGGAGGCAGCAGUAGGGAAUCUUCGGCAAUGGACGGAAGUCUGACCGAGCAACGCCGCGUGAGUGAAGAAGGUUUUCGGAUCGUAAAGCUCUGUUGUAAGAGAAGAACGAGUGUGAGAGUGGAAAGUUCACACUGUGACGGUAACUUACCAGAAAGGGACGGCUAACUACGUGCCAGCAGCCGCGGUAAUACGUAGGUCCCGAGCGUUAUCCGGAUUUAUUGGGCGUAAAGCGAGCGCAGGCGGUUAGAUAAGUCUGAAGUUAAAGGCUGUGGCUUAACCAUAGUACGCUUUGGAAACUGUUUAACUUGAGUGCAGAAGGGGAGAGUGGAAUUCCAUGUGUAGCGGUGAAAUGCGUAGAUAUAUGGAGGAACACCGGUGGCGAAAGCGGCUCUCUGGUCUGUAACUGACGCUGAGGCU
RNAcentral lists this ribosomal RNA (709 nucleotides) under uncultured Bacilli bacterium. RNAcentral's name for it is "bacterial SSU rRNA". It matches the Rfam family "Bacterial small subunit ribosomal RNA", at positions 59 to 753 of the family's 1533-position model. The record is from RNAcentral. Lineage: Bacteria; Bacillati; Bacillota; Bacilli.